RNAcentral lists this unclassified non-coding RNA (296 nucleotides) under Coniothyrium sp. RNAcentral's name for it is "partial contains 5.8S ribosomal RNA, internal transcribed spacer 2, and large subunit ribosomal RNA". The stretch from base 1 to 52 matches the Rfam family "5.8S ribosomal RNA", at positions 103 to 154 of the family's 154-position model. RNAcentral also lists the same sequence under 3 other names. Lineage: Eukaryota; Fungi; Ascomycota; Dothideomycetes; Pleosporales; Coniothyriaceae. The record is from RNAcentral.
AACGCACCUUGCACUCUUUGGUAUUCCGAAGAGUAUGUCUGUUUGAGUGUCAUGAAACUCUCAACCCCCCUGUUUUGUAAUGAGACGGGCGUGGGCUUGGAUCGUGGCUGUUUGUCGGUCUCUCAUCGAGCCGGCUCAGCUGAAAUACAUGAGCGACCAGAUUGAAUAAAUGACGGCUUGACUCGGCGUAAUAAUAUUACUCGCUGAGGACGUCUAAUUUCAAAUAGGCGCUUCUAAUGACUUAGCCCUUUUCAGCUUUAGACCUCAAAUCAGUCAGGACUACCCGCUGAACUUAA